AUUGAACGCUGGCGGCAGGCUUAACACAUGCAAGUCGAGCGGGGUGAUGGUGCUUGCACUAUCACUUAGCGGCGGACGGGUGAGUAAUGCUUAGGAAUCUGCCUAUUAGUGGGGGACAACAUCUCGAAAGGGAUGCUAAUACCGCAUACGUCCUACGGGAGAAAGCAGGGGAUCACUUGUGACCUUGCGCUAAUAGAUGAGCCUAAGUCGGAGUAGCUAGUUGGUGGGGUAAAGGCCUACCAAGGCGACGAUCUGUAGCGGGUCUGAGAGGAUGAUCCGCGACACUGGGACGGAGAAACGGCCCAGACUCCUACGGGAGGCAGCAGUGGGGAAUAUUGGACAAUGGGGGGAACCCUGAUCCAGCCAUGCCGCGUGUGUGAAGAAGGCCUUAUGGUUGUAAAGCACUUUAAGCGAGGAGGAGGCUCUUUUGGUUAAUACCCAAGAUGAGUGGACGUUACUCGCAGAAUAAGCACCGGCUAACUCUGUGCCAGCAGCCGCGGUAA
This 503-nucleotide ribosomal RNA is filed under the name uncultured bacterium. Its description in RNAcentral is "partial 16S ribosomal RNA". It matches the Rfam family "Bacterial small subunit ribosomal RNA", at positions 30 to 523 of the family's 1533-position model. The record is from RNAcentral.